UGGGGAAUAUUGGGCAAUGGGCGCAAGCAUGACCCAGCAACGCCGCGUGAAGGAAGAAGGCUUUCGGGUUGUAAACUUCUUUUGACAGGGAAGAGUAGAAGACGGUACCUGUCGAAUAAGCCACGGCUAACUACGUGCC
RNAcentral lists this ribosomal RNA (139 nucleotides) under uncultured bacterium. RNAcentral describes it as "partial 16S ribosomal RNA". It matches the Rfam family "Bacterial small subunit ribosomal RNA", at positions 355 to 509 of the family's 1533-position model. The record is from RNAcentral.